GGGCACAUGGUGUAGUUGGUUAUCACGCCCGCUUAGCACCAUAUCUUUGUUGUUGCGGGCGGUGCCCGGUUCAAUUCCGGGUGUGUCCA
This is a non-coding RNA of Termitomyces sp. Mi166#008, 89 nucleotides long. NCBI's taxonomy places the organism in Eukaryota, Fungi, Basidiomycota, Agaricomycetes, Agaricales, Lyophyllaceae. The record is from the annotation of a GenBank genome assembly.